GACGAACGCUGGCGGCGUGCCUAACACAUGCAAGUCAACUUGACUGAAGGAGCAAUCUGACAGUAGAGUGGCGCAAGGGUGCGUAACGCGUAAGUAACUUGCCCAAGGUAAGGAAUAACGUCGAGAAAUCGGCGCUAAUACCUCAUAAUGCAGCGGAUCCGCAUGGAUAUGUUGUUAAAGGUUUACCGCCUUGGGAUAGGCUUGCGUCUGAUUAGCUAGUUGGUGUGGUAACGGCACACCAAGGCUACGAUCAGUAACUGGUCUGAGAGGAUGAUCAGUCACACUGGAACUGAGACACGGUCCAGACUCCUACGGGAGGCAGCAGUGAGGAAUAUUGGGCAAUGCUCGAAAGAGUGACCCAGCAACGCCGCGUGGAGGAUGA
RNAcentral lists this ribosomal RNA (382 nucleotides) under uncultured bacterium. Its description in RNAcentral is "bacterial SSU rRNA". It matches the Rfam family "Bacterial small subunit ribosomal RNA", at positions 28 to 411 of the family's 1533-position model. The record is from RNAcentral.